Molecule: ribosomal RNA, 689 nt
Filed under: Eulasia sp. BMNH 671327
Lineage: Eukaryota; Metazoa; Arthropoda; Insecta; Coleoptera; Glaphyridae
Description: eukaryotic LSU rRNA
Rfam family: Eukaryotic large subunit ribosomal RNA
Source: RNAcentral
GGGACCCGUCUUGAAACACGGACCAAGGAGUCUAGCAUGUGCGCGAGUCAUUGGGACUGCGAUAAACCUAAAGGCGUAAUGAAAGUGAAGGUUCGUCUCGAACAAACCGAGGGAGGAUGGGUCGUUCCGCGGAACGGCCUCGCACUCCCGGGGCGUCUCGUUCUCAUCGCGAGAGGAGGCGCACCUAGAGCGUACACGCUGGGACCCGAAAGAUGGUGAACUAUGCCUGGUCAGGACGAAGUCAGGGGAAACCCUGAUGGAGGUCCGUAGCGAUUCUGACGUGCAAAUCGAUCGUCGGAACUGGGUAUAGGGGCGAAAGACUAAUCGAACCAUCUAGUAGCUGGUUCCCUCCGAAGUUUCCCUCAGGAUAGCUGGCGCUCGUAGAGCGAGUCUCAUUCGGUAAAGCGAAUGAUUAGAGGCAUUGGGGUCGAAACGGCCUCAACCUAUUCUCAAACUUUAAAUGGGUGAGAUCUCCGGCUUGCUUGAACAGUGAAGCCGCGAGAAUUUUACAAAUGGAUCAGAGUGCCAAGUGGGCCACUUUUGGUAAGCAGAACUGGCGCUGUGGGAUGAACCAAACGUCGAGUUAAAGCGCCCAAAUCGACGCUUAUGGGAUACCAUGAAAGGCGUUGGUAACUUAAGACAGCAGGACGGUGGCCAUGGAAGUCGGAAUCCGCUAAGGAGUGUGUAAA